Molecule: ribosomal RNA, 585 nt
Filed under: Kluyveromyces marxianus
Lineage: Eukaryota; Fungi; Ascomycota; Saccharomycetes; Saccharomycetales; Saccharomycetaceae
Also listed under: 1 other name
Description: partial large subunit ribosomal RNA
Rfam family: Eukaryotic large subunit ribosomal RNA
Source: RNAcentral
UGCAUAUCAAAAAAGCGGAGGAAAAGAAACCAACCGGGAUUGCCUUAGUAACGGCGAGUGAAGCGGCAAAAGCUCAAAUUUGAAAUCUGGCGUCUUCGACGUCCGAGUUGUAAUUUGAAGAAGGCGACUUUGUAGCUGGUCCUUGUCUAUGUUCCUUGGAACAGGACGUCAUAGAGGGUGAGAAUCCCGUGUGGCGAGGAUCCCAGUUAUUUGUAAAGUGCUUUCGACGAGUCGAGUUGUUUGGGAAUGCAGCUCUAAGUGGGUGGUAAAUUCCAUCUAAAGCUAAAUAUUGGCGAGAGACCGAUAGCGAACAAGUACAGUGAUGGAAAGAUGAAAAGAACUUUGAAAAGAGAGUGAAAAAGUACGUGAAAUUGUUGAAAGGGAAGGGCAUUUGAUCAGACAUGGCGUUUGCUUCGGCUUUCGCUGGGCCAGCAUCAGUUUUAGCGGUUGGAUAAAUCCUCGGGAAUGUGGCUCUGCUUCGGUAGAGUGUUAUAGCCCGUGGGAAUACAGCCAGCUGGGACUGAGGAUUGCGACUUUUGUCAAGGAUGCUGGCGUAAUGGUUAAAUGCCGCCCGUCUUGAACACC